UUGAUUCUGGCUCAGGAUGAACGCUGGCGGCGUGCCUAACACAUGCAAGUCGAACGAAGCACUGCAAACGGAGAUUCGUCAAAGUUUGCUUUGACUUAGUGGCGGACGGGUGAGUAAUGUAUGAGCAACCUGCCUUUCAGUGGGGGACAACAGUUGGAAACGACUGCUAAUACCGCAUGAUGUCAAUUGGGGGCAUCCCCGAAUGACCAAAGGAUUUAUUCGCUGAAAGAUGGGCUCAUAUCUGAUUAGCUAGUUGGUGAGGUAACGGCUCACCAAGGCUGCGAUCAGUAGCCGGACUGAGAGGUUGAACGGCCACAUUGGGACUGAGAUACGGCCCAGACUCCUACGGGAGGCAGCAGUGGGGAAUAUUGGGCAAUGGGCGAAAGCCUGACCCAGCAACGCCGCGUGAAGGAAGAAGGUCUUCGGAUUGUAAACUUCUUUUAUGAGGGACGAAGGACGUGACGGUACCUCAUGAAUAAGCCACGGCUAACUACGUGCCAGCAGCCGCGGUAAUACGUAGGUGGCAAGCGUUAUCCGGAUUUACUGGGUGUAAAGGGCGCGUAGGCGGGGAUGCAAGUCAGAUGUGAAAUCUAUGGGCUUAACCCAUAAACUGCAUUUGAAACUGUAUCUCUUGAGUGCUGGAGAGGUAGACGGAAUUCCUUGUGUAGCGGUGAAAUGCGUAGAUAUAAGGAAGAACACCAGUGGCGAAGGCGGUCUACUGGACAGUAACUGACGCUGAGGCGCGAGAGCGUGGGGAGCAAACAGGAUUAGAUACCCUGGUAGUCCACGCUGUAAACGAUGAAUACUAGGUGUGGGGGGACUGACCCCUUCCGUGCCGCAGUUAACACAAUAAGUAUUCCACCUGGGGAGUACGGCCGCAAGGAUGCAACUCAAAUGAAUUGACGG
Molecule: ribosomal RNA, 906 nt
Filed under: uncultured Bacteroidota bacterium
Lineage: Bacteria; Pseudomonadati; Bacteroidota
Description: bacterial SSU rRNA
Rfam family: Bacterial small subunit ribosomal RNA
Source: RNAcentral